RNAcentral lists this ribosomal RNA (541 nucleotides) under Blastocystis sp. subtype 3. RNAcentral describes it as "bacterial SSU rRNA". It matches the Rfam family "Eukaryotic small subunit ribosomal RNA", at positions 487 to 1038 of the family's 1831-position model. Lineage: Eukaryota; Bigyra; Opalinata; Blastocystidae. The record is from RNAcentral.
AGACGGUACAUGUUUUGCAUUGGAUUGAGACAACGUACAAACCUUAUCGAUAAACAAUUGGAGGGCAAGUCUGGUGCCAGCAGCCGCGGUAAUUCCAGCUCCAAUAGCGUAUAUUAACGUUGUUGCAGUUAAAAAGCUCGUAGUUGAAAUGAAGGGUAGUUGUGUAAUGAAUACAUUCGUGUAUUUUGUUAUUCAACUACCCUCCUUCUAAAUUCGAUAUAUGAGUAUUAAUUUACUUGUAUAUGGUUUUAGACGUUUACUGUGAGAAAAUUAGAGUGUUCAAAGCAGGCAUUUGCUUGAAUAUAUUAGCAUGGAAUAAUCAUGUAUGAUUUUCAUGAUGUAUUUGAUUGGUUUGGUUCAUGAGAAUAAGAUUAAAAGGGACAGUUGGGGGUAUUCAUAUUCAAUAGUCAGAGGUGAAAUUCUCGGAUUUAUGGAAGAUGAACAAGUGCGAAAGCAUUUACCAAGGAUGUUUUCAUUAAUCAAGAACGAAAGUUAGGGGAUCGAAGAGGAUUAGAUACCCCGUUAAUUUCUAUAAAAAAAA